GCGGGAACCCACUCGGUCGCUUGCUGGAGACAAAACUGAGCGGUGGCGUCGAAGAAGGCGAGCCACGCGGCAGGAAGGCUCUAAGGCGGCCAUGCAACUCGAGUGCGGCUGAUGCGGGGGAUCUGGACAAAGAUCUCGCGGGUCCACCGGGGAAAAGAUCGGACGGGUGAGGAAGAUUUGACAGGAUCCGACGGAUGGCUUAACUCGCCAGGGUCGGGAAAAAGGAACGAAG
RNAcentral lists this long non-coding RNA (232 nucleotides) under Setaria italica (foxtail millet). RNAcentral's name for it is "long non-coding RNA (SITA_LNC002970)". The record is from RNAcentral. Lineage: Eukaryota; Viridiplantae; Streptophyta; Magnoliopsida; Poales; Poaceae.